AGCAAAAGCUUGAACAAAUAAUCACUGCAAAUUCGACAAUAAAAAAUAUUUAUAAGGGAAUUACUUAAACACCGACGAAACCCAAAAAUCACAAACACGGGGGAGGGGGUCAACUGAUCUAAAGUCAAGUGACCUAGAUCUAAGCAAUCAAGCCAAUAACAAAGCAAAAAAUGAAUUCAAUCAUCAGGUUAUUGAAAUUAAGGGCCAAACAAUAACAACUAGAGCACAUAUUAAGAAAAUUGCAGAGAUAUUAUUAAUUAGCGAAUUAAUUCAUUCCAGAUCCAAGUUAAUUACACAUAUAUUAGAUAUAAUUUGAUCAAGAUGGAGAAACAGAA
RNAcentral lists this unclassified non-coding RNA (335 nucleotides) under Hevea brasiliensis (rubber tree). The record is from RNAcentral. Lineage: Eukaryota; Viridiplantae; Streptophyta; Magnoliopsida; Malpighiales; Euphorbiaceae.